This 467-nucleotide ribosomal RNA is filed under the name uncultured organism. RNAcentral describes it as "bacterial SSU rRNA". It matches the Rfam family "Bacterial small subunit ribosomal RNA", at positions 29 to 507 of the family's 1533-position model. The record is from RNAcentral.
AGUGAACGCUGGCGGCGUGCUUAACACAUGCAAGUCGAACGAGAACGGAUUUUAGCUUGCUAAAAUUGUCAGCUAAGUGGCGCACGGGUGAGUAAUAUAUAGGUAAUGUGCCCCUUACAAAAGAAUAACAGUUGGAAACGACUGCUAAUGCUUUAUAUGCCUCUAUCACAAAAGUGAGCGAGGGAAAGAAUUUCGGUAAGGGAUCGGCCUGUACGGUAUCAGUUAGUUGGUGAGGUAAUGGCUCACCAAGACAAUGACGCCUAACUGGUUUGAGAGGAUGAUCAGUCACACUGGAACUGAGACACGGUCCAGACUCCUACGGGAGGCAGCAGUGGGGAAUAUUGCACAAUGGGGGAAACCCUGAUGCAGCAACGCCGCGUGGAGGAUGACACAUUUCGGUGCGUAAACUCCUUUUAUGUGGGAAGAUAAUGACGGUAUCACAUGAAUAAGCUCCGGCUAACUCCGUG